GGCGGCAUGCCUAACACAUGCAAGUCGAACGGCAGCACAGCAGUAGCAAUACUGUGGGUGGCGAGUGGCGGACGGGUGAGGAAUACAUCGGAAUCUGCCCGGUUGUGGGGGAUAACGUAGGGAAACUUACGCUAAUACCGCAUACGAUCGAGAGAUGAAAGCGGGGGACCGAAAGGCCUCGCGCAGUCGGAUGAGCCGAUGUCGGAUUAGCUAGUUGGCGGGGUAAUGGCCCACCAAGGCGACGAUCCGUAGCUGGUCUGAGAGGAUGAUCAGCCACACUGGGACUGAGACACGGCCCAGACUCCUACGGGAGGCAGCAGUGGGGAAUAUUGGACAAUGGGGGCAACCCUGAUCCAGCAAUGCCGCGUGUGUGAAGAAGGCCUUCGGGUUGUAAAGCACUUUUAUCUGGAACGAAACACGCAGGGUGAAUAUCCUUGCGGACUGACGGUACCAGAGGAAUAAGCACCGGCUAACUUCGUGCCAGCAGCCGCGGUAAUACUAAGGGUGCAAGCGU
This 514-nucleotide ribosomal RNA is filed under the name uncultured Gammaproteobacteria bacterium. Its description in RNAcentral is "bacterial SSU rRNA". It matches the Rfam family "Bacterial small subunit ribosomal RNA", at positions 38 to 541 of the family's 1533-position model. The record is from RNAcentral. Lineage: Bacteria; Pseudomonadati; Pseudomonadota; Gammaproteobacteria.